RNAcentral lists this ribosomal RNA (374 nucleotides) under uncultured bacterium. Its description in RNAcentral is "partial 16S ribosomal RNA". It matches the Rfam family "Bacterial small subunit ribosomal RNA", at positions 338 to 729 of the family's 1533-position model. The record is from RNAcentral.
CCUACGGGUGGCCGCAGUGGGGAAUAUUGCACAAUGGAGGAAACCCUGAUGCAGCGAUGCCGCGUGAGUGAAGAAGUAUCUCGUUAUGUAAAGCUCUAUUAGUAGGGAAGAAAAUGACGGUACCUGAGUAAGGAGCAACGGCUAACUACGUGCCAGCAGCCGCGGGAAUACGUAGGGGGCAAGCGUUAUCCGGAUUUAUUUGGUGUAAUGGGAGCGUAGACGGCAGGGCAAGUCUGGUGUGAAAGGCUGGGGCUCAACUCCCGCACUGCUCGGGAAACUGUACGGCUGGAGUGUAGUGGAGGUAAGUGGAAUUCCUGGUGUAGCGGUGAAAUGCAUAGAGAUUAGACAGAACACCGAUGGCGAAGGCAGCUUAC